UAUGUUCGCUACUGUCUGCCUCGCGGUCGAGCGGUAGAUAUUGGAAUGAAACUUCGGUCGAAUGAAGAUAUUGAGAGCGGCGGACGGGUGAGUAACGCGUAGGCAACCUGCCCCAUACAGAGGGAUAGCCUCGGGAAACCGGGAUUAAAACCUCAUAACGCCAAAUGUUCGCAUGGACGUUUGGCCAAAGAUUUAUCGGUAUGGGAUGGGCCUGCGUCUGAUUAGCUAGUUGGUAAGGUAACGGCUUACCAAGGCAACGAUCAGUAGCCGACCUGAGAGGGUAAUCGGCCACAUUGGAACUGAGACACGGUCCAAACUCCUACGGGAGGCAGCAGUGGGGAAUAUUGCACAAUGGGCGAAAGCCUGAUGCAGCAACGCCGCGUGAGCGAUGAAGGCCUUUGGGUCGUAAAGCUCUGUCCUUGGGGAAGAAAAAAAUGACGGUACCCUUGGAGGAAGCCCCGGCUAACUACGUGCCAGCAGCCGCGGUAAUACGUAGGGGGCAAGCGUUAUCCGGAAUUAUUGGGCGUAAAGAGUGCGUAGGUGGUUUUAUAAGCGCAGGGUGAAAGGCAAUGGCUCAACUAUUGUAAGCCUUGCGAACUGUGAGACUUGAGUGCAGGAGAGGAAAGUGGAAUUCCUAGUGUAGCGGUGAAAUGCGUAGAUAUUAGGAGGAACACCAGUGGCGAAGGCGACUUUCUGGACUGUUACUGACACUGAGGCACGAAAGCGUGGGGAGCAAACAGGAUUAGAUACCCUGGUAGUCCACGCCGUAAACGAUGAGCACUAGGUGUCGGGGUCGCAAGACUUCGGUGCCGCAGUUAACGCAUUAAGUGCUCCGCCUGGGGAGUACGCACGCAAGUGUGAAACUCAAGGAAUUGACGGGGACCCGCACAAGCAGCGGAGCAUGUGGUUUAAUUCGAAGCAACGCGAAGAACCUUACCAGGACUUGACAUCCCUCUGACCGCUCUUUACAGGAGCUUCUCUUCGGAGCAGAGUGACAGGUGGUGCAUGGUUGUCGUCAGCUCGUGUCGUGAGAUGUUGGGUUAAGUCCCGCAACGAGCGCAACCCUUGUCAUUAGUUGCCAGCAGUUCGGCUGGGCACUCUAGUGAG
Molecule: ribosomal RNA, 1107 nt
Filed under: uncultured bacterium
Lineage: Bacteria
Description: bacterial SSU rRNA
Rfam family: Bacterial small subunit ribosomal RNA
Source: RNAcentral